Molecule: ribosomal RNA, 332 nt
Filed under: uncultured bacterium
Lineage: Bacteria
Description: bacterial SSU rRNA
Rfam family: Bacterial small subunit ribosomal RNA
Source: RNAcentral
AACGCAGGUGGUUUGGUAAGUCAGGGGUGAAAGUCCACAGCUUAACUGUGGCACUGCCUUUGAUACUACCUUUCUUGAGUGCAUGAGGGGGAAGCGGAAUUCCGAGUGUAGAGGUGAAAUUCGUAGAUAUUCGGAGGAACACCGGUGGCGAAGGCGGCUUCCUGGCAUGUAACUGACACUCAUGUUCGAGAGCGUGGGGAGCAAACAGGAUUAGAUACCCUGGUAGUCCACGCCCUAAACGAUGGGCACUAGGUGUGGGAGGUAUCGACCCCUUCCGUGCCGCAGCUAACGCAUUAAGUGCCCCGCCUGGGGAGUACGGCCGCAAGGUUGAA